UAUCAUUAACUGAAUCCAUAGGUUAAUGAGGCGAACCGGGGGAACUGAAACAUCUAAGUACCCCGAGGAAAAGAAAUCAACCGAGAUUCCCCCAGUAGCGGCGAGCGAACGGGGAGCAGCCCAGAGCCUGAAUCAGUGUGUGUGUUAGUGGAAGCGUCUGGAAAGGCGCGCGAUACAGGGUGACAGCCCCGUACACAAAAAUGCACAUAUUGUGAGCUCGAUGAGUAGGGCGGGACACGUGGUAUCCUGUCUGAAUAUGGGGGGACCAUCCUCCAAGGCUAAAUACUCCUGACUGACCGAUAGUGAACCAGUACCGUGAGGGAAAGGCGAAAAGAACCCCGGCGAGGGGAGUGAAAAAGAACCUGAAACCGUGUACGUACAAGCAGUGGGAGCACGCUUAGGCGUGUGACUGCGUACCUUUUGUAUAAUGGGUCAGCGACUUAUAUUCUGUAGCAAGGUUAACCGAAUAGGGGAGCCGAAGGGAAACCGAGUCUUAACUGGGCGUUAAGUUGCAGGGUAUAGACCCGAAACCCGGUGAUCUAGCCAUGGGCAGGUUGAAGGUUGGGUAACACUAACUGGAGGACCGAACCGACUAAUGUUGAAAAAUUAGCGGAUGACUUGUGGCUGGGGGUGAAAGGCCAAUCAAACCGGGAGAUAGCUGGUUCUCCCCGAAAGCUAUUUAGGUAGCGCCUCGUGAAUUCAUCUCCGGGGGUAGAGCACUGUUUCGGCAAGGGGGUCAUCCCGACUUACCAACCCGAUGCAAACUGCGAAUACCGGAGAAUGUUAUCACGGGAGACACACGGCGGGUGCUAACGUCCGUCGUGAAGAGGGAAACAACCCAGACCGCCAGCUAAGGUCCCAAAGUCAUGGUUAAGUGGGAAACGAUGUGGGAAGGCCCAGACAGCCAGGAUGUUGGCUUAGAAGCAGCCAUCAUUUAAAGAAAGCGUAAUAGCUCACUGGUCGAGUCGGCCUGCGCGGAAGAUGUAACGGGGCUAAACCAUGCACCGAAGCUGCGGCAGCGACGCUUAUGCGUUGUUGGGUAGGGGAGCGUUCUGUAAGCCUGUGAAGGUGUGCUGUGAGGCAUGCUGGAGGUAUCAGAAGUGCGAAUGCUGACAUAAGUAACGAUAAAGCGGGUGAAAAGCCCGCUCGCCGGAAGACCAAGGGUUCCUGUCCAACGUUAAUCGGGGCAGGGUGAGUCGACCCCUAAGGCGAGGCCGAAAGGCGUAGUCGAUGGGAAACAGGUUAAUAUUCCUGUACUUGGUGUUACUGCGAAGGGGGGACGGAGAAGGCUAUGUUGGCCGGGCGACGGUUGUCCCGGUUUAAGCGUGUAGGCUGGUUUUCCAGGCAAAUCCGGAAAAUCAAGGCUGAGGCGUGAUGACGAGGCACUACGGUGCUGAAGCAACAAAUGCCCUGCUUCCAGGAAAAGCCUCUAAGCAUCAGGUAACAUCAAAUCGUACCCCAAACCGACACAGGUGGUCAGGUAGAGAAUACCAAGGCGCUUGAGAGAACUCGGGUGAAGGAACUAGGCAAAAUGGUGCCGUAACUUCGGGAGAAGG
This 1556-nucleotide ribosomal RNA is filed under the name Escherichia coli. Its description in RNAcentral is "partial 23S ribosomal RNA". It matches the Rfam family "Bacterial large subunit ribosomal RNA", at positions 149 to 1746 of the family's 2925-position model. The record is from RNAcentral. Lineage: Bacteria; Pseudomonadati; Pseudomonadota; Gammaproteobacteria; Enterobacterales; Enterobacteriaceae.